CAAAAGGUCCUUUUAAGGACCAAACACAUCUUUAAAAAAGAAAUCU
RNAcentral lists this non-coding RNA (46 nucleotides) under Mytilus galloprovincialis (Mediterranean mussel). It matches the Rfam family "Histone 3' UTR stem-loop". From Rfam's summary of the family: The mRNAs of metazoan histone genes lack a poly-A tail. Lineage: Eukaryota; Metazoa; Mollusca; Bivalvia; Mytilida; Mytilidae. The record is from RNAcentral.